Molecule: non-coding RNA, 86 nt
Organism: Bombardia bombarda
Lineage: Eukaryota; Fungi; Ascomycota; Sordariomycetes; Sordariales; Lasiosphaeriaceae
Source: the annotation of a GenBank genome assembly
GCCUAGAUAGUAUAGUGGUCAGUACUUCUCGUUGUGGUUAACAUCCAACAUCCGAGAGGACCCAGGUUCGAUUCCUGGUCUAGGCA